AGGCUCCUGCCCGUGAGAAGGAAAUGGUAUAUCUCCACAAAAAGCAUACAAUGGGAGGGGAGUAGCAGAGCCAGCCCCUGUUGAAUUGGACUUCUCCUUUUGGAAUUGCUGGUAAUAAAGUGUCCCAGGAAGCCCAUGUGUUGACAAAUGACUCCAAGCGCAUUCCCUAUUCUCAUGUUGCAGUUCUGUGGCCAUAAAGUCCCAGGGCAGUGGUUGCACAUGUUUUCCAUCAUUCGCGUCUAAUGGCGGUAAUUUAGAAUUCCCUAUGGUUGGAGAAGAUGGUCUGUGGCAUUCAGUGACCAGUACAGUUCUUCCAAAGAGCUUGAGACUCCGAGUAGAUGUUUCCCUCAUUAGAACAUCUUCAGAGAAGACAUUUUCUAUGGGAAAUAAGUUGAGUUUCUGGACCUUGGGGGAUUGCUCGUCAAGAGCUGCAGCAGUUAUUGUGGCUGGGGAUGGGGAGCCAUGAUCUGCAGGGGUCAAGUUGGG
This 486-nucleotide unclassified non-coding RNA is filed under the name Hevea brasiliensis (rubber tree). The record is from RNAcentral. Lineage: Eukaryota; Viridiplantae; Streptophyta; Magnoliopsida; Malpighiales; Euphorbiaceae.